This 2453-nucleotide unclassified non-coding RNA is filed under the name Orbicella faveolata. RNAcentral describes it as "uncharacterized LOC110048718, transcript variant X1". Lineage: Eukaryota; Metazoa; Cnidaria; Anthozoa; Scleractinia; Merulinidae. The record is from RNAcentral.
AACAGGUCAGAUCUCUCAAAACCACUGAACUACUUUCAAACAGUACAAAUGAAGAGAAGGAUAGACAACACUUGGGCUUCAGAUCCUGGUUGCAAGGGUCAACCAUUAUUCAGUGUUCCCCUUGAAAAUGUUCUCAUUGAUGAGCUACACUUGCUGCUUCGCAUAACAGAUAGAUUGGAGCAUGACAUCAUCCUUGAAGUAAUUGGAUGAUAUGAGGACUUCUGGCAGUUGUACAAUGUCAUUAGUGACUGGACACCAGGGGAAGAUCAAGUCCUCUCAUUUUAUUCCAAGACUGUUGAGUGGGGAAAGCAGCUUUUGAACAUGACAGGGGAUGGUUACGCCCACACAUGUCCAAUCACACCGUACAUCCAUCUGAUGAUCUGUCAUGUACCUGUGAUGCUUCAGAAGUAUGAGACUAUGAAAAUAUUCACUGGCCAAGGUGUAGAAAAAAAGAAUGAUGAUUUUUGGAGAUACCUCCACCGAAGAAUUAACAGGUGGGAUACCUGCAAAUCACUGUUGAUGGUUGAAAAAGGGAGGAGGAAUUGGAGCCAUGGGAAAGGACACAAAGAGGGACACCAGAUUCUGGCAUGAGGGAAGAAAGCAGGAGAGUGCGAGGAAAUUUCCUCGACUAACAGAGAGCACAGAACAAGAUGAUGACCAACAAACAUCAACACAGAUGCCACCAAUACAAUACGAGAGAGAGCUCAAGUCAAUGAAAGUUCCUCAGCUGCAUGAAGUCGAACUUGGACUGUCAGUGGGCAGGGGUAAAAGAAAACAAGAGCUUAUCGAGAUGAUCUGCCAGUUUCUUGCUCGCAGCCAAUAAUUGUUUACUGUUCUAUUAAGUGUCAUUGUCAGAGAAAACCAGGCAGUACCAAAAGAUCAAGGUCGGCCGUUUACAUUCAUCUUUUCACAGUGUAAAAGCUAUCCGAAAAGAUUAACAACCAUGACAUUUGCCGAGGUAGGCGUUCAUUUUUCUUCGAGAUAUCACCACAUCAAGAUUUUGGCCUCUCAAGCAGUCUAAAAUGGCCGAAAUUUCGGGCAACUUUAGGUGAGCCUAAAAGAUACUUCCUACAACUUCCAGAAACUCUUAUUUUCGUGACAUAAUAUUUGUCCCCUUAUUAGUUGAUUGAGAAAUAUUAGAGGUCUUUCGCAUUAAUUCUACAGUUUUCAAGAGGUGCCAAAUAUCGCCGCCGAAUCGUUAAUGAGUGUGGCCCAAAUUUUAGCCAUUUUCAGCGAGUCGUUUUUCAAAAGUGCGGCAGUCUAUUUCCACAGAAAGACAUUUUUGUGAUAGUCUUUUGCAUUGUUAUCAAUAUCCAGUUUAGUUAAAAUUGGUAUCCACAGGCAAAUCGGGGUAAUUGGUCUCGCAAAGUCCAAAAAAAGUCAUUGGCCAGAAAUAUUUCCCGCCAAAUUUUUAGGGAAGAAUAUCACCUUAUACCGACUUUCUGCGAUUGUUAUCCAUGAUUUACUAAAAUAUUUGCAAAAAAUAGUUAGCUGGACUGCAGAAUAGAAUAUUUAAGCUGUGACAUCGUUAUUGACCUAUGGAAACAUUUCAAACUUGCCAAAUCCUUACCAUUAUUUAGGCUAAAUUUUCCCACGAAAAUUCUAUUUUUAACGUCACGCUGCAUGGAAAAACAAAGUGGAUCUUCAGUUCGCUGGUCUCUUUUGCUGUUUAGUAGAACAAACUGUAAGUUAAUAGUGAGCAAAGCUUUUCCCUGAAUCAGUUUAAUUUUGGGACUUCGGCAAACCCCUUUUUAUAUCGAUUUUCUCGUUUUCGGAAGACGUGACACGUUACAGAUUCAAACGUCAGAUGAAAGGACUUUAAGAUGUUGAUCUCGCCUAAAGGUUUUUCCUCGGUUUUGAAAACAUUAGCUGUUCUUUCGGAUCAAAAAAAUCGCGUAGCACUGCUGGUGGCGGGGCAGUUUUUCUUCAAUUAUUAGCGUACAAACGAGAUAGUCGAGCAAAGACGUUAGAGGUGGUUUCUAUUUGCUGCAACCUAAUGUAAACAAUGAGGAAAUACAGCUCCCUGCUCUCAGGCUCACCAAAGGAUCAAAAACGACAAACGACUGGGAUAAACAUCUCAAUACGUGUGAUCAUUGCUAGGCCAGUAUUGCCGGCAGAAACCUUUCUUGCGUUUAAUGUUGCCGUUUGUAUCAUCGCAGGUUAGUACAGCAUCUUGUUUUCCGCUCUGGAACUUUUACUUUCAACAAAAGUAAUAUAAUGUUGCUUCUGUUAAUAUUGACCACAAAACCCCUUUUAAUGCAAUGAAAUUACAUCCAAAUUUUUAUUGAUAAUUUCUUGAUAGUUUUAUUGCUGCUGUUGUCAGAGUUCAUAAAGAACAAGAUCGCAAUAUGUUUGUGAUCCAUGAGAACAUAAAUUGAAUUACAUUUUGCACGCAACUAAGUUGCUCUGAAGAUUAAUUGAGAUAGUUUUAACAUGGUUCAUGAAAAAAAAAA